UACAGAGGGUGCGAGCGUUAAUCGGAAUUACUGGGCGUAAAGCGUGCGUAGACGGUUAGAUAAGUCGGGUGUGAAAGCCCCGGGCUCAACCUGGGAAUUGCAUUCGAGACUGUUUAGCUAGGGUACGGAAGAGGGAAGCGGAAUUUCAGGUGUAGCGGUGAAAUGCGUAGAUAUCUGAAGGAACACCAGUGGCGAAGGCGGCUUCCUGGUCCAGUACCGACGUUCAGGCACGAAAGCGUGGGGAGCAAACAG
RNAcentral lists this ribosomal RNA (252 nucleotides) under uncultured bacterium. RNAcentral describes it as "partial 16S ribosomal RNA". It matches the Rfam family "Bacterial small subunit ribosomal RNA", at positions 524 to 775 of the family's 1533-position model. The record is from RNAcentral.